CCCUACGGGGCGCAGCAGGCGCGAAACCUCCGCAAUGUGAGAAAUCGCGACGGGGGGACCCCAAGUGCCAUUCUUAACGGAAUGGCUUUCGUGAAGUGUAAAAAGCUUCAAGAAUAAGAGCUGGGCAAGGCCGGUGCCGGCCGCCGCGGUAACACCGGCAGCUCUAGUGGUAGUCAUUUUUAUUGGGCCUAAAGCGUUCGUAGCCGGUUUAAUAAGUUUCUGGUGAAAUCCUGUAGCUUAACUAUUGGAAUUGCUGGAGAUACUAUUAGACUUGAGGUCGGGAGAGGUUAGAGGUACUCCCAGAGUAGGGGUGAAAUCUUGUAAUCC
This 327-nucleotide ribosomal RNA is filed under the name uncultured archaeon. RNAcentral describes it as "bacterial SSU rRNA". It matches the Rfam family "Archaeal small subunit ribosomal RNA", at positions 321 to 648 of the family's 1478-position model. The record is from RNAcentral.